RNAcentral lists this ribosomal RNA (332 nucleotides) under uncultured Glomeromycotina. RNAcentral's name for it is "eukaryotic LSU rRNA". Lineage: Eukaryota; Fungi; Glomeromycota. The record is from RNAcentral.
UAUCAGCCUUUUGGGCUGAUUCUGUGGAGCGUGAGGAGUUAAACGCCUUCAUGCCUGCAUAUUCGUGUACUUUGGGUGUACUUGUCCGUGUGGUUAGUUAACAUCAAUUUUGGUUAUCAUAAAAUGGCUGGAGGAAUGUACCUUCAAUUUCGAUUGAAGUGUUAUAGCCUUCGGCAAACGUGAUGAUCGGGAUUGAGGAUUGCAACGGAUACCCUUCGGGGCUACCUGUCUGAUCUCUGAUCGUUGCUCUGGUGCCGAAAGCGUGCUUACGGUUAUCAAAGUCGAUGGUUAAUAGGUUAGAACGGGUUAAAUUCGUUAAGGAUGUUGACGUA